UACGUAGGGUGCGAGCGUUGUCCGGAAUUAUUGGGCGUAAAGAGCUCGUAGGCGGCUUGUCGCGUCGGCUGUGAAAACUCGGGGCUCAACCCCGAGCCUGCAGUCGAUACGGGCAGGCUGGAGUCCGGCAGGGGAGACUGGAAUUCCUGGUGUAGCGGUGAAAUGCGCAGAUAUCAGGAAGAACACCGGUGGCGAAGGCGCUCUGCUAGGCCGUAACUGACACUGAGGGACGAAAGCGUGGGUAGCAAACAGG
Molecule: ribosomal RNA, 253 nt
Filed under: uncultured bacterium
Lineage: Bacteria
Description: partial 16S ribosomal RNA
Rfam family: Bacterial small subunit ribosomal RNA
Source: RNAcentral